AAAAAGAUAAGCUAAAUAAGCUAUUAGGUUCAUACCCUAAUUAUGAAAGCCCCACCCUUUCUCUUUUUA
RNAcentral lists this transfer RNA (69 nucleotides) under Pseudabris hingstoni. RNAcentral describes it as "tRNA-Met". Lineage: Eukaryota; Metazoa; Arthropoda; Insecta; Coleoptera; Meloidae. The record is from RNAcentral. RNAcentral also lists the same sequence under 2 other names.